Arvicola amphibius (Eurasian water vole) is the source of this 415-nucleotide long non-coding RNA. RefSeq lists it as uncharacterized. NCBI's taxonomy places the organism in Eukaryota, Metazoa, Chordata, Mammalia, Rodentia, Cricetidae. The transcript has 2 exons. The record is from RefSeq and is a predicted model, not a curated record.
AGUUCCAGAGGACACCAACUUCAGUACAAGAAAAAUAACGGUUCCAUCUACACUUAACUCCUUAUUACACUAACACACCCUCUUUUCCUUUUCCUAUGUGUGACCUCUAAAUUCUAAAUAACUACUUAGUUGUCCUUACAGGAAUCAUCAUAGCUCACGGAGACAAGGAAUUCAGAUGAUAAAUAUGGUCAAAAAACCUUAUUUCUCUUUUAAGGCAUUUUCUUUAAGUUCUAGGAAGCCAGCUUGACACACCUGAACGGAUUGGACACGAACAGAAUAACACCUAACGACAACCCAGUUCCUCAAGAUACCAACGGAUGCGGUUCCAAUCAGCCAUCCCCGGGACACGGACCACCAGGACAUCCCAGGACGUCAGUAAACAGGACAUCAUUACCAGGACACACCGGAACCAUCC